Molecule: transfer RNA, 71 nt
Filed under: bacterium 336/3
Lineage: Bacteria; Pseudomonadati
Rfam family: tRNA
About the family: Transfer RNA (tRNA) molecules are approximately 80 nucleotides in length. Their secondary structure includes four short double-helical elements and three loops (D, anti-codon, and T loops).
Source: Rfam by way of RNAcentral
ACAGAGUUGGUCUAAAGGUAAGACGUUUGUCUCCAAAAUAAAUUAUGGGGGUUCGAAUCCCUCACUCUGUG